GCGCGGUUGUCUGCGUGGUUAAGUAUCACGCUGGCAACGUGGAGACGCAGGUUCGAAUCCUGAUCGACUCU
Cokeromyces recurvatus is the source of this 71-nucleotide non-coding RNA. The record is from the annotation of a RefSeq genome assembly. NCBI's taxonomy places the organism in Eukaryota, Fungi, Mucoromycota, Mucoromycetes, Mucorales, Mucoraceae.